CAGCAUCUUUCCAGCUCCACUGCUGAUGCCACUCUGGCCACCUGAGAUCACCGCAAGUUCUCCUUGUCUUCCAGAACUCCAGAACUUCAGCCACACCACCCGGUCCUAUGCCGCACGCAGACCUGAAGAGCGUGUGGUCUACUCUUCCUACAGGGACUAAUAUGUCUGAAGAAAUGCUGUUUGGAUAAUCAUUGUUCCUGUUCAUCACAUGCAUUGAGAACCAUGCUGAGAAUACCACGGAAUACAGCCUGCGUUACAACAGCGUGCAUCUACUGCUCACAGAGCUGUCUCUGACCGUCGCCCCUUUGUCAGACGUGAGUGACUGCACCUAAAUGGACCGGCUGAAAAAUAGGAGGGGCCCCACUGUCAGCACUGAUAGGAGCUGCAAAGCCUCACAGCCGCCGCUCCUGGGGUCCCUUCCUGCUCUAAAAUCUGCAGCAGUUCCAUCUGGCAGAGUUUUCAAAGUUCUUCCCUGUUUC
This is a long non-coding RNA of Prionailurus viverrinus (fishing cat), 479 nucleotides long. RefSeq lists it as uncharacterized. The transcript has 3 exons. The record is from RefSeq and is a predicted model, not a curated record. NCBI's taxonomy places the organism in Eukaryota, Metazoa, Chordata, Mammalia, Carnivora, Felidae.